GCCCCUGUCGUCUAAUCCGGUUAAGGACACGAGGUUCUCGACCUCGUAAUCUGGGUUCAAAUCCCAGUGGGGGCA
RNAcentral lists this transfer RNA (75 nucleotides) under Candidatus Aenigmatarchaeota archaeon. Its description in RNAcentral is "tRNA-Glu". It matches the Rfam family "tRNA". From Rfam's summary of the family: Transfer RNA (tRNA) molecules are approximately 80 nucleotides in length. Lineage: Archaea; Nanobdellati; Candidatus Aenigmatarchaeota. RNAcentral also lists the same sequence under 1 other name. The record is from RNAcentral.